Cricetulus griseus (Chinese hamster) is the source of this 1147-nucleotide non-coding RNA. Lineage: Eukaryota; Metazoa; Chordata; Mammalia; Rodentia; Cricetidae. The record is from RefSeq and is a predicted model, not a curated record.
GAGUGGCGCCGAGGACUUUUCUUCCAAACGCAGAAAUGACAUUAACCCACCUACCAGGAACACGUCCAUAGUGUAUGGAAGCUGUGUGCCAUCAUUUGUUUCAUCUUCCUUUUGAUUUUACCAUAAAUGUAGCCCAAACAUUGGGAAAGCGAAAAGACCACGUCCUCUUCAGAAGGAAUGGCACAGAAUUGUGUAGUUCCUGAUCAAACUUUGUGAAAAACAGGAACUCAGCGUUAAGAGACUUUGUAACUGUUAUUGGCUAUGGCAGCAGUUCUCAACCUGAAAUUGGUGACUGCCCAGUUGGCAACUUGUUGGAUGCUGGGAAAGUGCAGAUUCCUGACAGCGGUGACGUACAUUCUGGAUGGCACUGUUUUCUGGGAGUUUCAGAGUUCUCAGCCCAUGCUUGACUGACUUCUUGGUUUCUGGGCCCGGGAGAGGCAGAACAGCACAGAGGAAGAAGGUGGAGAAGAGAGCUGGAUCACCUUGGAAGCAGGAAGCAGACAGAAACAGCAGGAGGAGGCUAGGACCAAGACACGCCCUGCAAAGGUACCUUCACGGCAACCCACUUCUCCUAACAAGGCACCGCCUCCACAGUUCCACCACUGAACAAGUUAUUCAGAAUGGAGGCCCUUAAUGCGUGACACCAUUGGAGUUGGUCGGCACCCUCCUGAUCUAAAAUGCCCCUGGAAACUCCCUCAGAAGCUCACUUUACUCAUUCUGGGCAUCUCUCAAUCCAACUGAGUUGCCAGUCAAGAUGGACCAUCUCACCCCACAACCACAUGUGUCAUCUUCCCCUCUCACAAACAAGGAAAUGGAGGCUCAGAGAAACUAAGAAAUGUGCCAAAGGUCUCAUGGUUAGUGAGUGGCAAGCGUCUGUCUAACUUGAAAGUUCAAGCAUUUCUUAGUGCUUAAGAGCUUGUCUUUGGCCACGGAUGCACUUCUCAAGGACUGAGGCAACAACAACCCUAGGUGCCUAAUACCUCAUCAUUGCCACACCUACAUUCCUAACCAACUACACCUUCCACUGAGCAGCACACAGGAAGACAAAGACAAUGCAAUGGAAAGACAAAAAGACAAUGGCUAUAAACCUAUAGAUUUGAAAACACUAAACAUUAAGAAAUACAUUUUCCCUUAACAUUCAGAGACA